UUGAGGCGAAUUCGGUGAUCCUAUGCUGCCAAGAAAAGCCUCUAGCGAGUGCACACAUGGCCCGUACCCCAAACCAACACAGGUGGUCAGGUAGAGAAUACUAAGGCGUACGAGUUAACUAUGGUUAAGGAACUCGGCAAAAUGCCCCCGUAACUUCGGGAGAAGGGGGACCUCCAUACCGUCAAGGCACUAGCGGCCGGCAGCGGGAGGGGGUGGCACAAACCAGUGAGAAGCGACUGUUUACUAAAAACACAGGUCCGUGCGAAGUCGCAAGACGAUGUAUACGGACUGACGCCUGCCCGGUGCUGGAAGGUUAAGAGGACCUGUUAACUCCUUCGGGGGUGAAGCGGAGAAUUUAAGCCCCAGUAAACGGCGGUGGUAACUAUAACCAUCCUAAGGUAGCGAAAUUCCUUGUCGGGUAAGUUCCGACCUGCACGAAUGGCGUAACGACUUCUCAACUGUCUCAACCAUAGACUCGGCGAAAUUGCACUACGAGUAAAGAUGCUCGUUACGCGCGGCAGGACGAAAAGACCCCGGGACCUUCACUACAACUUGGUAUUGGAGUUCGGUACGGUUUGUGUAGGAUAGGUGGGAGACUGUGGAGCGCACACGCCAGUGUGUGUGGAGUCGUUGUUGAAAUACCACUCUGAUCGUAUUGGGCUUCUAACCUCGGACCGUCUAUCCGGUCCAGGGACAGUGCCUGGUGGGUAGUUUAACUGGGGCGGUUGCCUCCUAAAAUGUAACGGAGGCGCCCAAAGGUUCCCUCAACCUGGACGGCAAUCAGGUGUUGAGUGUAAGUGCACAAGGGAGCUUGACUGCGAGACCUACAAGUCGAGCAGGGACGAAAGUCGGGACUAGUGAUCCGGCACCCCCGAGUGGAAGGGGUGUCGCUCAACGGAUAAAAGGUACCCCGGGGAUAACAGGCUGAUCUUCCCCAAGAGUCCAUAUCGACGGGAUGGUUUGGCACCUCGAUGUCGGCUCGUCGCAUCCUGGGGCUGGAGCAGGUCCCAAGGGUUGGGCUGUUCGCCCAUUAAAGCGGCACGCGAGCUGGGUUUAGAACGUCGUGAGACAGUUCGGUCUCUAUCCGCCGCGCGCGUCAGAAACUUGAGGAAACCUGUCCCUAGUACGAGAGGACCGGGACGGACGAACCUCUGGUCUACCAGUUGUCCCACCAGGGGCACCGCUGGAUAGCUACGUUCGGACAGGAUAACCGCUGAAAGCAUCUAAGCGGGAAACCUCUUCCAAGACCAGGUUUCUCACCCUUUUAGAGGGAUAAGGCCCCCCGCAGACCACGGGAUCGAUAGACCAGACCUGCACACUUAGCAAUAAGUUUAGGGAACUGGCACUAACCGGCCGAAAACUUACC
RNAcentral lists this ribosomal RNA (1366 nucleotides) under metagenome. RNAcentral's name for it is "bacterial LSU rRNA". It matches the Rfam family "Bacterial large subunit ribosomal RNA", at positions 1580 to 2925 of the family's 2925-position model. The record is from RNAcentral.